RNAcentral lists this antisense RNA (75 nucleotides) under Pseudofrankia asymbiotica. RNAcentral's name for it is "Frankia asymbiotica ASpks TB sRNA". It matches the Rfam family "ASpks TB sRNA". Lineage: Bacteria; Bacillati; Actinomycetota; Actinomycetes; Frankiales; Frankiaceae. The record is from Rfam by way of RNAcentral.
CUUGAUCGAGCCGAGCCACAGCGGCUGGCCCGCAUCGCGUCCGCGGCCGUAGACGGCCAGCAGCGCGCCGGCCUC